UGUCGGGGCCGGUCGUGCCCGCGCUGUGCCCGCGCCAGCUCCCGGCUGGCAUCCAGCAUCAGCAGGGCGGGCACGAGCACCCAGAGCCCGUUGAGCCCCACGAAGUAACCCCAGAAAUAAAAGGGGUGGGGGUCGCUGUGAGCCCAGCCCGCCCGCGCCUCCGUGGCGAAGUACAGGAUGUCACCGUACAGCUGGCCUGGGGACAGACAGGGACAGGGUUAGGGACAGCCUGGGGACACAGGGACAGACAGGGACACGGUUAGGGACAGGGACAGUACAGGAUGUCACCGUACAGCUGGCCUGGGGACACAGGGACAGACAGGGACACAGUUAGGGACAGCCUGGGGACAGCCAGGGCAAAGUACAGGAUGUCACCAUACAGCUUGCUGGGGACAGAGGGGACAAGGACAAGGUUAGGGACAGCCUGGGAACAGGGCAAAGUACAGGAUGUCACUGUACAGCUGGCCUGGGGACAGGGACAGACAGGGACACAGACAGGGACAGGGGUUAGAGACAGCCUGGGGACAGGGACACAGAGAGGGACACAGUUAGGGGACAUGGGGACAGCCUGGGGACAGCCAGGACAAAGUACAGGAUGUCACCGUACAGCUGCCCUGGGGACAGAGGGGACAAGGACAGGGGUCAGGGACAGCAACAGGGACAUGGGGACAGCAUGGGGCCAGGGACAGGCCUGGGGGAUGGUGACACCGGGGACAUUGGGGACACAGGGGACAGCAGAAUGUUGACGCUGGUGGCACAGAGACACAGGACAAUGGGUGCACUGGGGACAGGAGGAUGGAGACACAGGGAUGGUGACACUGAGGACAGGGGGAUGGUGACACUGGUGACACUGGAGAGGUGACACUGAAGACACUGGUGACACAGGGGUGGGUACACUGGUGACAUGGGGACACAGGGACGCUGGGGAGGUGACACAGGGAUGGUGACACAGGUGACACAAGUGACACAGGGAUGGUGACACUGGGGAGGUGACACAGGUGACAGGUGACAUGCUGACACAGGGAUGGUGACACAGGUGACAUUGGUGACACAGGGACACUGGGGAGGCGACACUGGGGAGGUGACAGAGCUGACACAGGUGA
RNAcentral lists this long non-coding RNA (1103 nucleotides) under Junco hyemalis (dark-eyed junco). RNAcentral's name for it is "lncRNA (ENSJHYG00000001591.1)". Lineage: Eukaryota; Metazoa; Chordata; Aves; Passeriformes; Passerellidae. The record is from RNAcentral.